Molecule: ribosomal RNA, 245 nt
Filed under: uncultured Roseivirga sp.
Lineage: Bacteria; Pseudomonadati; Bacteroidota; Cytophagia; Cytophagales; Roseivirgaceae
Description: partial 16S ribosomal RNA
Rfam family: Bacterial small subunit ribosomal RNA
Source: RNAcentral
UACGGAGGGUGCAAGCGUUGUCCGGAUUUAUUGGGUUUAAAGGGUGCGUAGGCGGAUCUUUAAGUCAGUGGUGAAAUCCUGCAGCUUAACUGUAGAACUGCCAUUGAUACUGGAGAUCUUGAGUAUACUAGAGGUAGGCGGAAUUUAUGGUGUAGCGGUGAAAUGCAUAGAUACCAUAAAGAACACCAAUAGCGUAGGCAGCUUACUGGAGUAUAACUGACGCUGAGGCACGAAAGCAUGGGUAG